RNAcentral lists this unclassified non-coding RNA (302 nucleotides) under Hevea brasiliensis (rubber tree). The record is from RNAcentral. Lineage: Eukaryota; Viridiplantae; Streptophyta; Magnoliopsida; Malpighiales; Euphorbiaceae.
AGAAUCAUAAUUUUCUAAGCUACUACGAAUAUUUUAUGAAUUUUUAAUUUAAACUCGAAACUAAAUAAUUAAGAAAAUUUAGGGUUCGGGCUUACCUAUGCCAAUUCGGAUAUUAGAAACAUAUCCGGGAUGUCUAAAAACGGUGAAGUAGCCUAUAAUCUUGACUCGGUUCUGAAGUAAUUCCGGUAGCUUAUCUGCUUGACUCGAAAUUAUAGAUCCGAGUUACGGUCGAAUAUCCAUGAAACGAAAGUAUCUACGCAAAGCCCACAACACCAGGGGCUAGACUAAAAUAUUUAUAUUUA